RNAcentral lists this ribosomal RNA (460 nucleotides) under uncultured bacterium. Its description in RNAcentral is "partial 16S ribosomal RNA". It matches the Rfam family "Bacterial small subunit ribosomal RNA", at positions 338 to 795 of the family's 1533-position model. The record is from RNAcentral.
CCUACGGGUGGCAGCAGUGAGGAAUAUUGGUCAAUGGACGAGAGUCUGAACCAGCCAAGUAGCGUGAAGGAUGACUGCCCUAUGGGUUGUAAACUUCUUUUAUAAAGGAAUAAAACGAGGCACGUGUGCCUUUUUGCAUGUACUUUAUGAAUAAGGAUCGGCUAACUCCGUUCCAGCAGCCGCGGUAAUACGGAGGAGCCGAGCUUUAUCCGGAUUUAUUGGGUUUAAAGGGAGCGUAGAUGGGUUGUUAAGUCAGUUGUGAAAGUUUGCGGCUCAACCGUAAAAUUGCAAUUGAUACUGGCAGUCGUGAGUACAGUUGAGGUAGGCGGAAUUCGUGGUGUAGCGGUGAAAUGCUUAGAGAUCACGAAGAACCCCGAUUGCGAAGGCAGCUUACUAAACUGUGACUGACAUUGAUGCUCGAAAGUGUGGGUAUCAAACAGGAUUAGAUACCCCGGUAGUC